RNAcentral lists this long non-coding RNA (220 nucleotides) under Dunaliella salina. RNAcentral describes it as "long non-coding RNA (DSAL_LNC000293)". The record is from RNAcentral. Lineage: Eukaryota; Viridiplantae; Chlorophyta; Chlorophyceae; Chlamydomonadales; Dunaliellaceae.
CGCCGUUUGGGAAAACCCAGUCUGGAAUAGCUCGAGAGGUGUUUUCAGGGAUUUGUAUGCCUUGAUCCAGAAGUCUGCCAUGAUUGCAGCCAUCCAUGCCAAUGAGGGAUGAGCCAUAACAGCCUUUACUGAGGGCUUCUACACAGAGACUAAGGGCCGCAUGGUGUCUAUUGGUGUGCAUCCCACUCAUUGUUGGGUUGGUACACCUAAGCAGAACAUG